AACGCCGCGUGAGUGAAGAAGGUCUUCGGAUCGUAAAACUCUGUUGUUAGAGAAGAACACGAGUGAGAGUAACUGUUCAUUCGAUGACGGUAUCUAACCAGCAAGUCACGGCUAACUACGUGCCAGCAGCCGCGGUAAUACGUAGGUGGCAAGCGUUGUCCGGAUUUAUUGGGCGUAAAGGGAUCGCAGGCGGUCUUUUAAGUCUGAUGUGAAAGCCUUCGGCUUAACCGGAGUAGUGCAUUGGAGACUGGAAGACUUGAGUGCAGAAGAGGAGAGUGGAACUCCAUGCGUAGCGGUGAAAUGCGUAGAUAUAUGGAAGAACACCAGUGGCGAAAGCGGCUCUCUGGUCUGUAACUGACGCUGAGGUUCGAAAGCGUGGGUAGCAAACAGGAUUAGAUACCCUGGUAGUCCACGCCGUAAACGAUGAAUGCUAGGUGUUGGAGGGUUUCCGCCCUUCAGUGCCGCAGCUAACGCAAUAAGCAUUCCGCCUGGGGAGUACGACCGCAAGGUUGAAACUCAAAGGAAUUGACGGGGGCCCGCACAAGCGGUGGAGCAUGUGGUUUAAUUCGAAGCAACGCGAAGAACCUUACCAGGUCUUGACAUCCUUUGACCACCUAAGAGAUUAGGCUUUCCCUUCGGGGA
This 642-nucleotide ribosomal RNA is filed under the name Ligilactobacillus salivarius. Its description in RNAcentral is "bacterial SSU rRNA". It matches the Rfam family "Bacterial small subunit ribosomal RNA", at positions 393 to 1026 of the family's 1533-position model. Lineage: Bacteria; Bacillati; Bacillota; Bacilli; Lactobacillales; Lactobacillaceae. The record is from RNAcentral.